GAGUUUGAUCCUGGCUCAGAUUGAACGCUGGCGGCAUGCCUUACACAUGCAAGUCGAACGGCAGCACGGGAGCUUGCUCCUGGUGGCGAGUGGCGAACGGGUGAGUAAUGCAUCGGAACGUAUCCUGGAGUGGGGGAUAACGUAGCGAAAGUUACGCUAAUACCGCAUAUUCUGUGAGCAGGAAAGCGGGGGGCCUUCGGGCCUCGCGCUCUUGGAGCGGCCGAUGUCGGAUUAGCUAGUUGGUGAGGUAAAGGCUCACCAAGGCGACGAUCCGUAGCAGGUCUGAGAGGAUGAUCUGCCACACUGGAACUGAGACACGGUCCAGACUCCUACGGGAGGCAGCAGUGGGGAAUUUUGGACAAUGGGGGCAACCCUGAUCCAGCCAUGCCGCGUGAGUGAAGAAGGCC
Molecule: ribosomal RNA, 407 nt
Filed under: bacterium enrichment culture clone ALO1_GLFRUDD03FQWYR
Lineage: Bacteria
Description: bacterial SSU rRNA
Rfam family: Bacterial small subunit ribosomal RNA
Source: RNAcentral